RNAcentral lists this ribosomal RNA (645 nucleotides) under uncultured bacterium. RNAcentral describes it as "bacterial SSU rRNA". It matches the Rfam family "Bacterial small subunit ribosomal RNA", at positions 241 to 885 of the family's 1533-position model. The record is from RNAcentral.
UCAGCUUGUUGGCGGGGUAAUGGCCCACCAAGGCGACGACGGGUAGCUGGUCUGAGAGGAUGGCCAGCCACAUUGGGACUGAGAGACGGCCCAGACUCCUACGGGAGGCAGCAGUGGGGAAUCUUGCGCAAUGGCCGAAAGGCUGACGCAGCGACGCCGCGUGUGGGAGGACGCCUUUCGGGGUGUAAACCACUGUUGCCCGGGACGAACAGCCUCAUUCGUGAGGUCUGACGGUACCGGGUGAGGAAGCACCGGCUAACUCCGUGCCAGCAGCCGCGGUAAUACGGAGGGUGCGAGCGUUGUCCGGAAUCAUUGGGCGUAAAGGGCGCGUAGGUGGCGGGACAAGCGUGCGGUGAAAGCUCGGGGCUCAACCCCGCGUCGGCCGUGCGAACUGCUUUGCUUGAGCACUGUAGAGGCAGGUGGAAUUCCGGGUGUAGCGGUGGAAUGCGUAGAGAUCCGGAAGAACACCGGUGGCGAAGGCGGCCUGCUGGGCAGUGGCUGACACUGAGGCGCGACAGCGUGGGGAGCAAACAGGAUUAGAUACCCUGGUAGUCCACGCCGUAAACGAUGGGCACUAGGCGCUUGGGGGAGCGACCCUCCGAGGGCCGGCGCUAACGCAUUAAGUGCCCCGCCUGGGGAGUACGG